UUUUACAUAAAUAAGGCCGUUAGUUUUCUCGUUUGAAUUGUUUUACAUUGUCUUAUCGUGGCCUUUUAUAGCUCACUAUGCGGUAUGGGCUUUGCUCAUUGUUGAAGGCCGUACGGUGACCUAUAGUUGUUAAUGUCUGUGUCAUUUUGGUCUUUUGUGGAUAGUUGUCUCGUUGGCAAUCAUACCACAUCUUCUUUUUUAUAU
Molecule: long non-coding RNA, 204 nt
Filed under: Mytilus galloprovincialis (Mediterranean mussel)
Lineage: Eukaryota; Metazoa; Mollusca; Bivalvia; Mytilida; Mytilidae
Source: RNAcentral